AUGUCGAUGUUGGGGCAUUUUUUGAAAAAAUUCUUGAACCUCUCCCAUGCCUCAGGAUAGCUCUCGAGUUCUUUUUGCUUAAAAAUGUGGACGUCGUUCCUAAUUU
Molecule: small nucleolar RNA, 106 nt
Filed under: Olea europaea subsp. europaea
Lineage: Eukaryota; Viridiplantae; Streptophyta; Magnoliopsida; Lamiales; Oleaceae
Description: Plant small nucleolar RNA R71
Rfam family: Plant small nucleolar RNA R71
About the family: R71 is a member of the C/D box family of snoRNAs containing the C (UGAUGA) and D (CUGA) box motifs. Multiple nearly identical copies of this snoRNA have been identified in Arabidopsis, and it is thought to function as a 2'-O-ribose methylation guide for 18S ribosomal RNA.
Source: Rfam by way of RNAcentral